UCCUCCCACAUAACUUUCGCAGCUCAUAACCUACCACAACUUCUUGAUUUAAGGUCGUAUGGCCUGGAUCGGCGGUUUACUGGGCCAAAUCUGCAAAUUUCAGGGCAUCAAGUACACAUACGGCUCCGACCGGGUAGAAUCCGGACACACCCUGAAAGCCGACGUCGUUGCUGUGAAGCCCACCCACGUGUUCAACGCCGCUGGUCGACCGAACUGUCACACAAGGGUCUGUGUUCAAACAUCCAAAUCCUCUACAAAUUAAAGAAGUGGUGGACUAGGAAUAAUGCCAACAAAACUCGAGAUAAGAGCAAAACGGUGAAGAUGGGAGUGAGGAUUGUUACUCAGUCGACUGGUUAUACGCAUCCUUGGUGGCAUAGGAUUAAAGAUGGUGUUGUGUUGUCUUUUGGUUAAUCUAAUGGUGUUGGUGGUGAUACGGAUUCGUCUACAGCUCCACAGUCUGCUAAUUAAACACUACAAUGUGACGCCACUCUGAACCAUAAUUUGGCGGAGAAGAUAGGUUUUAUAAUCCGGCAAAAACGAGAAGAAGCUGUCAAAAUCAAGAUGAACUCCGUGAGCACAAAGUGAUGCCACUCCGAACCAUAAUUUGGAGCUAUGAUGCAAGUGACAUUGAAACUCCUAGAAAUGGUUUGUAUGCGAUUGGUUUAUCAUGGCGAGUCACCAAGAGAGAUCCUGAGAAGCAUCUCUCUGCAGAAGGAAAGGUA
Helianthus annuus (common sunflower) is the source of this 722-nucleotide long non-coding RNA. RefSeq lists it as uncharacterized. The record is from RefSeq and is a predicted model, not a curated record. The transcript has 5 exons. NCBI's taxonomy places the organism in Eukaryota, Viridiplantae, Streptophyta, Magnoliopsida, Asterales, Asteraceae.